AACCUCUGUUCAAAGACCGCUCGAAGAUUGGCUUGGAAGCAGCCACUCUAUAAUGAAAGCGUAGCAGCUCACGAGCUUAGAAGAGAGUUUUGCCAAAUGUCCGGGAUUAUACUUUAACUAUUUAGCUUCUUCUUUAUGUUCUGUUUAAUACAGGUUAUAAUAAGAAUCUAAUCAAUGUUUAUACUGAAGCUCACUGACUG
Molecule: ribosomal RNA, 200 nt
Filed under: Limnomonas spitsbergensis
Lineage: Eukaryota; Viridiplantae; Chlorophyta; Chlorophyceae; Chlamydomonadales
Description: large subunit ribosomal RNA
Rfam family: Archaeal large subunit ribosomal RNA (bases 1-109)
Source: RNAcentral